This 275-nucleotide ribosomal RNA is filed under the name uncultured bacterium. Its description in RNAcentral is "partial 16S ribosomal RNA". It matches the Rfam family "Bacterial small subunit ribosomal RNA", at positions 338 to 605 of the family's 1533-position model. The record is from RNAcentral.
CCUACGGGUGGCUGCAGUGGGGAAUUUUGGACAAUGGGCGCAAGCCUGAUCCAGCCAUGCCGCGUGAGUGAAGAAGGCCUUCGGGUUGUAAAGCUCUUUCAGCUGGAAAGAAAACUUCCGGAUCAAUACCCCGGGAGGAUGACGGUACCAGCAGAAGAAGCACCGGCUAACUACGUGCCAGCAGCCGCGGUAAUACGUAGGGUGCGAGCGUUAAUCGGAAUUACUGGGCGUAAAGCGUGCGCAGGCGGUGAUGUAAGACAGAUGUGAAAUCCCCG